Molecule: ribosomal RNA, 379 nt
Filed under: uncultured bacterium
Lineage: Bacteria
Description: bacterial SSU rRNA
Rfam family: Bacterial small subunit ribosomal RNA
Source: RNAcentral
GAUGAACGCUAGCGGCAGGCUUAAUACAUGCAAGUCGAGGGGCAGCAGGGGUAGCAAUACCCGCUGGCGACCGGCAAACGGGUGCGGAACACGUACACAACCUUCCUUAAGUGGGGGAUAGCCCAGAGAAAUUUGGAUUAAUACCCCGUAAUAUUAUUUAGUGGCAUCAUUAAGUAAUUAAAGCUCCGGCGCUUAGAGAUGGGUGUGCGGCUGAUUAGGUAGUUGGUGAGGUAACGGCCACCAAGCCUUCGAUCAGUAACUGGUGUGAGAGCACGACCAGUCACACGGGCACUGAGACACGGGCCGACUCCUACGGGAGGCAGCAAGGUAAGAAUAUUGGUCAAUGGACGCAAGUCUAGAACCAGCCAUGCCGCGUGGA